CCCCAACCCCGUGUUAUGAUGUCAUCGUCCUGAGACAUCCAUGACCAGCUAAAGGAAAUAGUGGCUAGUAAAGAGAGAUCCACGUGACUCAGGGUAAGGAAGAUGGGGGUGGGGGGUGCAAGAUGACAGAGACAAAUCAGGCCUUCCUGUGACUCUGGCCUUCCUCUGAAUUGGGAAGAUUGGAUGCAAGGAACACCUGCUGUAAUCCAGCUAGCCUGCAUUUGUUCAUUCCUCGCACACUGAGUACUUGCUAUGUGCCCAACCUGGCGCUGCGAACACCCAGACCUGAUGGCUUCCUCUAAUGUAGAUCCCGAUAGGUGAGAAAAACAAAAUGGAGAUACAGAAAAACCAUUGCCUGUUCAGUGCUCAGUGAGCUUGGCGGACAUUGUGUGAGCCAGGGAGAGGGGCAGGUAUGAGGAAAAGUGCUGAAAGGCAGAGAAGUAAAGGAGCAGCCGCAAGAGACAUCUCACCUCUACCGAAUCCUCAGAACUCUACAGGUCUGCAAAGAUAAGGGGCCUUUACAGCGCAUGGCAAAUGAGGGGACCCCAGACACUUGGAGCUGUCCUGAAAAGAUUGUCCUGGACUUUGGCUUCCUUGAUCUCAGAGGUCCUGCUGUCUGAUCCUUCUCCAGAUGGUCUCUGCUCUGAAGUCCCAAGAUGAC
Molecule: long non-coding RNA, 661 nt
Filed under: Cricetulus griseus (Chinese hamster)
Lineage: Eukaryota; Metazoa; Chordata; Mammalia; Rodentia; Cricetidae
Description: lncRNA (ENSCGRG00015039152.1)
Source: RNAcentral